GACGAACGCUGGCGGCGUGCCUAAUACAUGCGAGUCGAGCGGACGAAUCGAAAGCUUGCUUUUGAUUCGUUAGCGGCGGACGGGUGAGUAACACGUGGGCAACCUGCCCUGUAGACGGGGAUAACACCGAGAAAUCGGUGCUAAUACCGGAUAACACGAAAUGUCGCAUGACGUUUCGUUGAAAGACGGCGCAAGCUGUCGCUACAGGAUGGGCCCGCGGCGCAUUAGCUAGUUGGUGAGGUAACGGCUCACCAAGGCGACGAUGCGUAGCCGACCUGAGAGGGUGAUCGGCCACACUGGGACUGAGACACGGCCCAGACUCCUACGGGAGGCAGCAGUAGGGAAUCUUCCGCAAUGGACGAAAGUCUGACGGAGCAACGCCGCGUGAGCGAAGAAGGCCUUCGGGUCGUAAAGCUCUGUUGUUAGGGAAGAACAAGUAACGCAGUAACUGGCGUUACCGUGACGGUACCUAACGAGAAAGCCACGGCUAACUACGU
This 497-nucleotide ribosomal RNA is filed under the name uncultured bacterium. Its description in RNAcentral is "partial 16S ribosomal RNA". It matches the Rfam family "Bacterial small subunit ribosomal RNA", at positions 28 to 506 of the family's 1533-position model. The record is from RNAcentral.